UUAUCCUUGAUGAAAGAACUGAGACUUCUGAUCCACACUGGCUUUGUUGCCACGUCAGCAAUGUCACAACUUGAGUACUAAGCAUUAAGAUGGAACAGAUGAUGCUGACUUUGUAGGAGAAGCCAUAUCUGCCAUCCGUUGGUAAAGCAACAAAAUCACCAAGAACCCGAGUUGCAUGAUGAUAUUGGCAUCUUCCCAGUGGCAGGGGGAGAUCAUCUCUGGCCAUGCUACUUGAAAUCGUAGAAACCUUAAAUCUGCUGAAGAUCGUGAAUGAAUAAUGGGUUAUCCACAGAUCAAAAUCUUUCAGUGUGUGAGAGUAAAAACAAAGUGCAGAGCAAACCGCCUCUCUCGUGUGGAAAAGAGACGUGAAUUAUUGUCGGUAUGUAAACGGCGAAGACAGUGAUAUGUGAGAGGAGGAGAAGAGAGAAGAGAGAAGAGAAAGUCGGAGAUCCAAACACCACCAAAAUCCCUCUUUACUUAUAUAUACUUAAUUCUAUGUCUUCCAUUGCGCGUGUCUUGGAAUGUUGUCUUCAUCACGUGCAGAAAGGGCAAAAAAAUAUAAAAAAAUGUCAUUUUUUGUGUUAAA
This is a long non-coding RNA of Salvia miltiorrhiza (redroot sage), 586 nucleotides long. RefSeq lists it as uncharacterized. The record is from RefSeq and is a predicted model, not a curated record. The transcript is spliced from 3 exons. Lineage: Eukaryota; Viridiplantae; Streptophyta; Magnoliopsida; Lamiales; Lamiaceae.